Molecule: long non-coding RNA, 1097 nt
Organism: Brachypodium distachyon (stiff brome)
Lineage: Eukaryota; Viridiplantae; Streptophyta; Magnoliopsida; Poales; Poaceae
Exons: 5
Source: RefSeq, a predicted model, not a curated record
GCGCGGGUCUUUCUUUUACAGGGGACUGUUCAUUUCAGGUACAGGCUGGUUGUGAACGCUGUUGAUGCUGGGUCUAUUGAUCCAGCCGCGGCUACGUUCGCGCAGUUUACGCUAUUUUGUCAUCAGGCAGAGGCUAUCAUCGGGGAAGCUGCGGUGUUUCUUGUGGCCAGCGCGAAGGGGCAGGUGGACUAUAUGCCCGCUGGUCUGGCUGCAGUCGUGGGCAAGAAGCUUACCGUUGUUGUGACGCCUAAGGAUACUUCCUUGGAUGCAGACUACCUGUACUUUCAGGUUUAGUCGUUAGAACAGGUGGCACAGCCGGGUCGCGUUCCGCUCUUAAAGCUGCAUACAUCCGAUGAGGCUGGCGUCUCCGACCAGUCGGGCGUCUCGGAUGGAGGCUCUCGGCUGGGUGCUCCGCGGUGGCGUCUUCGUUGCUUCCUUCGGUUGAAGGUGGACCGGUGGUUGAUAGCGAGCCAUGCUUAUCCGUGGAGCGGGACGCUGCCUGUGCCGUUCUCGAACAGCGUGGCACCAAGCGCAAGGGGUUGGCAAGUAUGGUGAGCCCUGCACAGGCUGAUCAGGCAUCCGGCUUGGAAGGAGAUGCUCGCUGGGUUGGUCUGCCAGAGAUGGUUACGACGCGGUCCACGGUGUGCAAUCCAUGUAUUGCGAACCGUCUUCCUCUGUGGAGCAGGAGGUUGCCGGCCGUGUUACCAAGGGUAGGGGGACCGGUGCAAAGGGGGUUCGCGGGGCGAAAAGCAAGAGCGUGGCCAAGGAGCCGGUGUCUGCUGCUUCUUAGGUGUGUUAUUUCGUUCGUGGUCUGUCGAUUGCUGGUUCGAUGUUGUUGUACGUCCUCUCGUGCCGGCGUGGUGGUUUGCUCAGUGAUUUCUGCUGGUUCAUGCAUGCUGGUUGCCUGGUUGUGGCUGUCGUUGUUUCGUCCGUGUCUUCGCGGUGGUGUCGUUCUUUCUUGCUAUUCUGUUGUGCUCUCUGCUGCUAUUCCUGUGAUGUACGUAUAUGUUGCUACGUGUUGUAUCUCUGUGUGUUCGUAUGUGUGGCGUUGGUUACAAGAGUUUGUUUUUCAUGUCCCUGCGGGAUCGUUUGUUUCA